This 422-nucleotide ribosomal RNA is filed under the name uncultured bacterium. Its description in RNAcentral is "partial 16S ribosomal RNA". It matches the Rfam family "Bacterial small subunit ribosomal RNA", at positions 360 to 774 of the family's 1533-position model. The record is from RNAcentral.
AAUCUUCCACAAUGGGCGAAAGCCUAAUGGAGCAACGCCGCGUGAGUGAAGAAGGUUUUCGGAUCGUAAAACUCUGUUGUAAGGGAAGAACAAGUACAGUAGUAACUGGCUGUACCUUGACGGUACCUUAUUAGAAAGCCACGGCUAACUACGUGCCAGCAGCCGCGGUAAUACGUAGGUGGCAAGCGUUGUCCGGUAUUAGUGGGGGUAAAGCGCGCGCAGGCGGUACUUUAAGUCUGAUGUGAAAGCCCACGGCUCAACCGGGGAGGGUCAUUGGAGACUGGGGGACUUGAGUGCAGAAGAGGAAAGUGGAAUUCCAAGUGUAGCGGUGAAAUGCGUUGAGAUUUGGAGGAACACCAGUGGCGAAGGCGACUUUCUGGUCUGUAACUGACGCUGAGGCGCGAAAGCGUGGGGAGCAAACA